UUAGGCGGUUCCGAUCAUUAGGCCAAAUCCGUCGUUUUUGCCGUGACCAUAGGCUCGUGAGUCAGCUACCCAAAAAACCAACAAUUGUAAACAGGUCGCGAGCUCGGCGCCCGUUGGGACGUUUCGAGAACAUUCUCGAAAUUCAAAUCCUAACGCCUGUCGUCAACUCCGGCGGAUAUAAAUAUAGCGGACAGGGUAGCGACGCAUCCUUAGUUACCGAGAGAUACGAGCAGCGACAAUUAACCGAUACUUCUUUGCGCCGAUCUAUUAGCGACCGCGAAACGAGACAGCAAGUAUAUUAUAUGGUUAGCCGACAUGCACCUUCUUUCCCCGCAAUGCAAAGCAGACUUGGAUAUGGUGUUCAUCGCCAGGAUGGGUUUCUUCAUGAUCUUUGUGCUGUUGACGGAGGAAGACGAAGAGGAAGAGGAGGCUGCACACUCGCCGCAUUCAGUCUCGUCGCUGUGAUCCGCACAAUCCAAGUAGCCGUCGCAUCGCCAGUCAACCGGAAUGCAUCUGGUCCCAUCGCAUUGGAACCCACUGGUGCAUACUGUGCAACGCGUGCAUCAAGAAAUGGCUAACAGUACAGUUCUUUUCUAUGUACUACGUACACUCGCGUUUCUCCUUCGUUUCUGUAUUUUAUUUCCAAUUUUUUUCAUCUUGUUUUUUACGUUUUCCCCUGUUCAGAGUUUUCGAUGGUCUCGUAAUGGAAGAGGAACAGAUGAAACGUGAAAAUGUAAAAAAAUUGAAAGAAUAGAGGAUCAGAGAAUGCAUGAUAAAUGGCUGUGAUUGUCUUCGGGUUGGGGAUUUGCUCAUUGUGAAGCCGAGGUAUUACGGGACGGUAUAGUUAUCCACUUUUUUUAUGUCUUUGUAUUGAGAUAAUUAAUGCAGGAUCGAUAAUGUUAAUCGUCAAUGAGAUUUCUAAGUACAAAUCUUCCCUUUCGAGCGAACAUUUUAGCUUCUAUAAUAUCACGUAAUUUAGAAAUUUGAUGAUUAGGUAUGUACAUUUUAUUGAAGUAAUUACGAAAUUAAUCUUCUGAAAUUAAAAUUAGAGAUUAUAGUUAUAUCAGUUAUAAUUUGUAUCCUUAUAAACAAACAAAAUUCCGAUUAAAUUAGAGCGUAAGGAUAUUCAAUGCUUAAAAGGAUUUUUAUCAAUUUGCUUAAAUAUAAAAUCAUUUCUUUUAAUUUGUCAGCUUCUUUGUAAGAAACUUCAAUUAUAGCAAUUCCCGUAGUAAUUAAAAUUAGGGGCAACUUAAAAUACAUCAUGAGAAUAUACUCGUACCAAAGCAAAUAUAAUAUCAAA
Molecule: unclassified non-coding RNA, 1300 nt
Filed under: Bombus terrestris (buff-tailed bumblebee)
Lineage: Eukaryota; Metazoa; Arthropoda; Insecta; Hymenoptera; Apidae
Description: misc RNA ENSBTSG00005032424.1
Source: RNAcentral